CCUACGGGAGGCAGCAGUGGGGAAUAUUGCACAAUGGGGGGAACCCUGAUGCAGCAACGCCGCGUGAAGGAAGACGGUUUUCGGAUUGUAAACUUCUAUCAAUAGGGAAGAAAGAAAUGACGGUACCUAAAUAAGAAGCCCCGGCUAACUAGGUGCCAGCAGCCGCGGUAAUACGGAGGAUGCGAGCGUUAUCCGGAUUUAUUGGGUUAAAAGGGUGCGCAGGCGGUCUGUUAAGUCAGCGGGCAAAGCCCGGGGCUCAACCCCGGCCCGCCGUUGAAACUGGCAGUCUCGAGUUGGAGAGAAGUAUGCGGAAUGCGCGGUGUAGCGGUGAAAUGCAUAGAUAUCGCGCAGAACUCCGAUUGCGAAGGCAGCAUGCCGGCUCCACACUGACGCUGAGGCACGAAAGCGUGGGUAUCGAACAGGAUUAGAUACCCCAGUAGUC
RNAcentral lists this ribosomal RNA (442 nucleotides) under uncultured bacterium. Its description in RNAcentral is "partial 16S ribosomal RNA". It matches the Rfam family "Bacterial small subunit ribosomal RNA", at positions 338 to 795 of the family's 1533-position model. The record is from RNAcentral.